Molecule: ribosomal RNA, 511 nt
Filed under: Laccaria cf. bicolor UBC F14301
Lineage: Eukaryota; Fungi; Basidiomycota; Agaricomycetes; Agaricales; Hydnangiaceae
Description: eukaryotic LSU rRNA
Rfam family: Eukaryotic large subunit ribosomal RNA
Source: RNAcentral
UUGACCUCAAAUCAGGUAGGACUACCCGCUGAACUUAAGCAUAUCAAUAAGCGGAGGAAAAGAAACUAACAAGGAUUCCCCUAGUAACUGCGAGUGAAGCGGGAAAAGCUCAAAUUUAAAAUCUGGCAGUCUUUGGCUGUCCGAGUUGUAAUCUAGAGAAGUAUUAUCCGCGCUGGACCGUGUACAAGUCUCCUGGAAUGGGGCGUCAUAGAGGGUGAGAAUCCCGUCUUUGACACGGACUGCCAGGGCUUUGUGAUGUGCUCUCAAAGAGUCGAGUUGUUUGGGAAUGCAGCUCAAAAUGGGUGGUAAAUUCCAUCUAAAGCUAAAUAUUGGCGAGAGACCGAUAGCGAACAAGUACCGUGAGGGAAAGAUGAAAAGAACUUUGGAAAGAGAGUUAAACAGUACGUGAAAUUGCUGAAAGGGAAACGCUUGAAGUCAGUCGCGUUGGCUAGGGAUCAACCUUGCUUUUUUGCUUGGCUUACUUUCUGGUCGAUGGGUCAGCAUCAAUUUU